GUCUACGGCCAUACCACCCUGAACGCGCCCGAUCUCGUCUGAUCUCGGAAACUAAGCAGGGUCGGGCCUGGUUAGUACUUGGAUGGGAGAAAUGAGGUAUUGGCAAUG
This 108-nucleotide ribosomal RNA is filed under the name Neogale vison (American mink). Lineage: Eukaryota; Metazoa; Chordata; Mammalia; Carnivora; Mustelidae. The record is from RNAcentral.